GAUGAACGCUGGCGGCGUGCCUAAUACAUGCAAGUCGAGCGAACAGAUGAGGAUCUUGCUCCUCUGACGUUAGCGGCGGACGGGUGAGUAACACGUGGAUAACCUACCUAUAAGACUGGGAUAACUUCGGGAAACCGGAGCUAAUACCGGAUAAUAUAUUGAACCGCAUGGUUCAAUAGUGAAAGACGGUUUUGCUGUCACUUAUAGAUGUAUCCGCGCCGCAUUAGCUAGUUGGUAAGGUAACGGCUUACCAAGGCAACGAUGCGUAGCCGACCUGAGAGGGUGAUCGGCCACACUGGAACUGAGACACGGUCCAGACUCCUACGGGAGGCAGCAGUAGGGAAUCUUCCGCAAUGGGCGAAAGCUUGACGGAGCAACGCCGCGUGAGUGAUGAAGGUCUUCGGAUCGUAAAACUCUGUUAUUAGGGAAGAACAAAUGUGUAAGUAACUAUGCCCGUCUUGACGGUACCUAAUCAGAAAGCAACGGCUAACUACGUG
RNAcentral lists this ribosomal RNA (497 nucleotides) under uncultured bacterium. RNAcentral describes it as "partial 16S ribosomal RNA". It matches the Rfam family "Bacterial small subunit ribosomal RNA", at positions 28 to 507 of the family's 1533-position model. The record is from RNAcentral.